RNAcentral lists this ribosomal RNA (252 nucleotides) under uncultured bacterium. RNAcentral's name for it is "partial 16S ribosomal RNA". It matches the Rfam family "Bacterial small subunit ribosomal RNA", at positions 524 to 776 of the family's 1533-position model. The record is from RNAcentral.
UACAGAGGUCUCAAGCGUUGUUCGGAUUCAUUGGGCGUAAAGGGUGCGUAGGUGGCAGGGUAAGUCGGAUGUGAAAUCCCGGGGCUCAACCUCGGAACUGCAUUCGAUACUGCUUUGCUGGAGUACUGGAGAGGAGAUUGGAAUUUACGGUGUAGCAGUGAAAUGCGUAGAUAUCGUAAGGAAGACCAGUGGCGAAGGCGGAUCUCUGGACAGUUACUGACACUGAGGCACGAAGGCCAGGGAGCAAACGGG